GCACUGUUGGCCGAGCGGAUUAGGCACACGACUCAUAAUCGUUUUCAUGUAGGUUCAACUCCUACACAGUGCA
Molecule: transfer RNA, 73 nt
Filed under: Polytoma uvella
Lineage: Eukaryota; Viridiplantae; Chlorophyta; Chlorophyceae; Chlamydomonadales; Chlamydomonadaceae
Description: tRNA-Met
Rfam family: tRNA
About the family: Transfer RNA (tRNA) molecules are approximately 80 nucleotides in length.
Source: RNAcentral